This 210-nucleotide long non-coding RNA is filed under the name Lathyrus oleraceus (garden pea). RNAcentral describes it as "Pisum sativum (pea) long non-coding RNA (PSAT_LNC035362)". Lineage: Eukaryota; Viridiplantae; Streptophyta; Magnoliopsida; Fabales; Fabaceae. The record is from RNAcentral.
CAACUAAAACACACAAAACAUACUGAAAAUAAAGGAAAGCGAUAAAAAUCUCCUCCCACACUUAAACCAAACAUUGUCCUCAAUGUUUCGAUAGGACAUAGGAUAGGAGUAACCUGAAAAAGAGAGAACUAUGGCUGAUCAUCGACACCAUCACCGCCCUGGUCAGGAUGCCUGGGUCGACCACUCCUACUACAACGGCUAAGACAUUUC